UGCUUUUAAUCAGCUUCAGUUUCCAUUCAAUUACUACUGAGUUAAUUUUCUAAUGACUUUCUGACUUUUCAAUAUCUUUCUGCUUCAAUCAACAUUGAAAAAAGAGUAAAAAAAUCAGGACUUUUGUUUUUAUCCUGAAGCCAGAUCAAUGUUAUGCGAAAUGGUGAAUCUUUUUGAUAAAAAAUCUUAUUUUUCUGAAUUGCUUGACCAAUGAUCAAAGAAAUACGGACAAAUGGUUCAUGGAUUGUGAUAACUUUGAUAUAAUCUCUUUAAUAUUUAUCCCGUUCAUUAUUACAAGGUUAAGCUGCUCUUGAGAUUUGUCCGCUUCAUCUGAAUCCCCUUCAUGGCUGUACCAAACACUGUAACUCAAGUAAACAAAGAUUCCUGGAAGAAACGAAAGAAAGGAUUUAAUUUAAUCGAUAAGAAAAUGGUCCAUAUUAACGAUUCCUUGUUCCAGAUUAAAUAUGCUUUACACCUUCAAUUGGUCAACAAUGUGAAACAAAAAUCAAAGUCAACUGGUUCACCAUGAUAAUGAGCACAGUCAAACCCAUAGAAGCAAGUUCAACAGCUAUAAAUGGAUAUUGGAAAGAAUCGAAAACUGGCUCGAAAUCAUUUUCAUUGAUAUUCAGCCAACAAUACAAGAGAGUUUCAACUCAUGCAAUAUAAUCAUUAUACUCAUCACAUAAUGAUAAUGGUAAUAAUAUCGUGAUAAAAUGUUAUUAACCAUUAACCAAUAUUGGGACCACAAUCGAUAAACCAAUUAUUAUGCCAACAUUUAUGUAAAUUAAUUUUACAUCAUGAAAAGGUUAACAUGAGAGUAAAGUGAAAACCUUUUCAAUUUAUUUUCUACACCAAUUAGAGAAUCUACAAAAUUUAAAAUUUCAUCAAAAGCAAGUGUCAUGCAAUCAUUCAUUAAACUCGAGUGACUCUGCAAAGAUUUAAAUAGCUUUCAAAUGGCACAUCAAUGAACCUUUUUGCCAUUAAGACCGCAUUACUAAAAGUCUUGAAUUGAAAAUUGAAUAAAAUUUCAAGAUGAAUGUCAAAAUUUGGAAGAAAACUUCUCAAGAAAAAACCUUUUGCAUCGAAACAAAUUUUUUCAGGCAACAUUAGAAGAUUGUGUUUUAUGGAAAUAAUAAGUUGGAUCGAAACAAUUUCUCGAUUAAAGUUGAAGACAAAACUUGGAUGAAGUUGCAAAUGUUAAAAGUAAUCGACGUGAUGAGUGAAUCAUGUAAAAGGUACGAACCUGGAUGGUCAGUUGAAAAGUCAAAAUUGAAGAUGAAAAAAUUUCUCUCAAGUUUAACAUAAAUAAUGAUUCUUUUGCGUGUCAACAUUACUUUUAUGGUGAAAUGAUAACUCUAGACAAGUUUCAUUGAUCGAUCGUUCAAAUGAUAUCUGAAAAGCAUCAAUUUGGAUUAUCAUGAAAACGAAGAAAAAGAAAAAAAAGUGAAAUGAUAAUUUACGAAAUGAAAUCUGAAGAAAAGUUCGACACAUUAUCAUUAUCAUGGCCAUACCUUUCAUUGACUCAUCAGUGAUUCUUCUGUGAUCAGAAUAAGAAUUUUUGUAAAAUUCAUUUUAAAUCAGAAAUCGAAAGAAAAAAAACGCAUAAAAAAAUCUUUCUCUCCACCAAAAACAUUCUUGCAAUAAAAAAUUGAGAAAAAAAGUUUUAAAAUAUUCUUUUCGAAAAACUUUUAAUUCAUUUUGCUGAAAUCGAUAAAAUUGAUUAUCGAUAAUUCUGUUCUCUUUACCAUUUAAUAGCAAUCAUCACCUUUACGAGUUAAUCAAAAGUCGAGUUCAUUGAAGACUCGCUUGAGAUUUUACUCUUAAACUUGAUUCAAUAAUUUAUUCAAUAACAAAACUCUGAUAAUGAUAACUCUCAAUGGAAUCAUUGGUUUAUCAUGAAUAAAAUAGUUCUCUGUUUGCAUUUUUAUUUUCUUUCCCAGAAUAACCUUUUCUUUGAAACGUUUAAUUGCAUUAUUCCAAUGUUUAUCGAUUAUUAAAUUUGCAUUUUUCAAGUUUUCUCAUUGAGAAUGAUUGAAAAUAUGUUUUCCUUUUUCAUCAAAUAUUUCACUUUGCAGACAAUUUUCAAUGUUUUGCCUUUAGGAUGUUGAGCUGUUUAGUAAUUGAAUUUUUUCUCUCAGAUAAUAAAAUUGUUAUUCAUGAAACAAUUGAAAUGAAAUCACAGUCCAACUCGAAUUAAAUUGUGUAGUGAAUAUGAUUAGUUGGUAAAACAAAAACACUGACUGAGUUUAUUCCAGUCACGCUUGUAAGCAUAAGAAUGUUUCAAACGAAAAAGAGAAAAGGUUGAAAAAAUUCAAUUUUUCGGAAUUUUUCAAAACUCGAAAGACUUUUACAAACUUUUUCUUCAUUCAAAUGCAUUGAUGAUCAUUUUAUUGGUCGACUUUGAAUUUUAAUCGAAAAGGCUUUAAAGGUUAACUUGCAUUUGCAAUUUUCAUUGCACUCGAAUUCAAUUUAAUGAUGAUUUUAAUGACUUUAAUGUGUCAAUAAAGUACUUGGAAUGUUGUCCUUUCAGGUUUGCUAAAUGGUCGUUUAUUGAUACUAAACAGUCAAAGAUGAAAAACCCUUAAAUCUACUCUUAUUUUGCAAUCCAAUAUUUGAGUGAAAUUCAAUGUUUACUGGGAUUAAAUCAAUAUUAAUUAAAGUUGCUGUUAUAUUGAAAUGUUGCCCGUCAUCAUGGUUGAUCAUCAUCUGUGCUUGGGUCAACAUUGACACUGGUAAACAUUGGUCAAGAUGAUGGAAGAGAUGAACAAGAUUAGUCUUUUUUUCUCUCUCCUAAUCAUCAUGACGAUGAUAGUUAAGUCUUUUUCCUGUAAACAUUUCUUUUCCAUCAGAAAAUAAAAAGAUGAAGGAAACUUGAGCUUAUUCUUUUCCUUUUCCCUGAAUCUCUUUUUUUUACAAUCCAUUGAUUGGAAAUGAAAUUCACUUCACUUUUCACAACUGUCCACACCUUGUCUAACCAUAAGCCAACAUUAAUAUCAUUAAUACAUUAGCGGGUUGAUUAGCAUGGUUUAAUGGUAUUCAAUGAAAGUUCAAUAUUUAAUGGAAAAAAGUUUCGAGUUGAACUUUGAAAGAAUUGAACAAAUAACAAAUGUUGUGAACUUGAAACGCUUU
This is a long non-coding RNA of Tetranychus urticae (two-spotted spider mite), 3129 nucleotides long. RefSeq lists it as uncharacterized. The record is from RefSeq and is a predicted model, not a curated record. NCBI's taxonomy places the organism in Eukaryota, Metazoa, Arthropoda, Arachnida, Trombidiformes, Tetranychidae.